GGGCCCGUGGGCUAGUCUGGUCUAUGCUUGGGGCUUCGGGAGUCCCAGACCUGAGUUCAAAUCUCGGCGGGCCCA
RNAcentral lists this transfer RNA (75 nucleotides) under Microcaldota archaeon. RNAcentral's name for it is "Candidatus Micrarchaeota archaeon tRNA-Pro". It matches the Rfam family "tRNA". From Rfam's summary of the family: Transfer RNA (tRNA) molecules are approximately 80 nucleotides in length. Lineage: Archaea; Nanobdellati; Microcaldota. RNAcentral also lists the same sequence under 1 other name. The record is from RNAcentral.